RNAcentral lists this ribosomal RNA (465 nucleotides) under Vreelandella stevensii. RNAcentral's name for it is "partial 16S ribosomal RNA". It matches the Rfam family "Bacterial small subunit ribosomal RNA", at positions 338 to 795 of the family's 1533-position model. Lineage: Bacteria; Pseudomonadati; Pseudomonadota; Gammaproteobacteria; Oceanospirillales; Halomonadaceae. The record is from RNAcentral.
CCUACGGGGAGCUGCAGUGGGGAAUAUUGGACAAUGGGCGAAAGCCUGAUCCAGCCAUGCCGCGUGUGUGAAGAAGGCCUUCGGGUUGUAAAGCACUUUCAGUGGGGAAGAAAGCCUUGGGGCUAAUACCCUCGAGGAAGGACAUCACCCACAGAAGAAGCACCGGCUAACUCCGUGCCAGCAGCCGCGGUAAUACGGAGGGUGCGAGCGUUAAUCGGAAUUACUGGGCGUAAAGCGCGCGUAGGCGGUCUGAUAAGCCGGUUGUGAAAGCCCCGGGCUCAACCUGGGAACGGCAUCCGGAACUGUCAGGCUAGAGUGCAGGAGAGGAAGGUAGAAGUCCCGGUGUAGCGGUGAAAUGCGUAGAGAUCGGGAGGAAUACCAGUGGCGAAGGCGGCCUUCUGGACUGACACUGACGCUGAGGUGCGAAAGCGUGGGUAGCAAACAGGAUUAGAUACCCUGGUAGUC